This 468-nucleotide ribosomal RNA is filed under the name uncultured bacterium. RNAcentral's name for it is "partial 16S ribosomal RNA". It matches the Rfam family "Bacterial small subunit ribosomal RNA", at positions 28 to 507 of the family's 1533-position model. The record is from RNAcentral.
GAUGAACGCUGGCGGCGUGCUUAACACAUGCAAGUCGAACGGAAAGGCCAGUGCUUGCACUGGUACUCGAGUGGCGAACGGGUGAGUAACACGUGGGUGAUCUGCCCUGCACUUCGGGAUAAGCCUGGGAAACUGGGUCUAAUACCGGAUAGGACAAUGGUUCGGAUGCCGUUGUGGAAAGUUUUUUCGGUGUGGGAUGAGCUCGCGGCCUAUCAGCUUGUUGGUGGGGUAAUGGCCUACCAAGGCGUCGACGGGUAGCCGGCCUGAGAGGGUGUACGGCCACAUUGGGACUGAGAUACGGCCCAGACUCCUACGGGAGGCAGCAGUGGGGAAUAUUGCACAAUGGGCGCAAGCCUGAUGCAGCGACGCCGCGUGGGGGAUGACGGCCUUCGGGUUGUAAACUCCUUUCGCUAGGGACGAAGCGUAUUUGUGACGGUACCUGGAGAAGAAGCACCGGCUAACUACGUG